Molecule: long non-coding RNA, 592 nt
Organism: Xenia sp. Carnegie-2017
Lineage: Eukaryota; Metazoa; Cnidaria; Anthozoa; Malacalcyonacea; Xeniidae
Exons: 3
Source: RefSeq, a predicted model, not a curated record
GCCCAGUAUAGUGGCCAGUGGGUGACAAAUGACUCUGAAAGAGAAAGUACACAACCCUAUCUUACCAAUCAAGAAACAGAUAAACGAUGCAAGGGAACACAACUGCUGUCCUUGUUGCUUUGUAGGCUUGUAACCAAUGAGCUCCUCAAGAAAUAAGUAACUGUUCUGGUGGAAUUUUUUUGUGAUCGUCUGAAGGAUCAUUUCUCUGUGGUUCCUCACGUCUUUUCUGGUUUAUCGGCUUUGGUAUGUUGUAUUGUAUCUGUGUGAAGCUGAAUAUUUAAACCGGAUCAUGCAUUUUUGUUAUCUUAUUGCAAUGCAUUUUAUUUGCCUUUGCCUUUCAUGUGGCACAUUUAAUUCUUACUGCGGGCUGCAGAUUGUAACAUUUAAAAGCAAGCAAUGACAGUAUAAAAUGCUGUUAUCAAAGUUAAUGUUUCCAUGUAAAGUAAUAUGAGCUGGUAACCAAGAAAAAAAGGUUUUUUUUAACAAAAUUACAGUUUCUUUGUGAAGUUUUUUUCUUUCGCGCUUUUCAUCUGUCAUUGUUUGCAACUUACUGUUACUGUUUGCUUGUGUGAUGGAUGUACUGACAGAGGAA